RNAcentral lists this unclassified non-coding RNA (378 nucleotides) under uncultured Thermoleophilia bacterium. RNAcentral describes it as "contains 16S-23S intergenic spacer region". The record is from RNAcentral. Lineage: Bacteria; Bacillati; Actinomycetota; Thermoleophilia.
UCCGAGUUGACCCCGGCAGUCUCCUAUGAGUCCCCGACAUUACUCGCUGGCAACAUAGGACGAGGGUUGCGCUCGUUGCGGGACUUAACCCAACAUCUCACGACACGAGCUGACAACAGCCAUGCACCACCUGUACACCUGCCCCGAAGGGCUGCCGUAUUUCUACGGCAUUCAGAUGCAUGUCAAGCCCUGGUAAGGUUCUUCGCGUUGCGUCGAAUUAAACCACAUGCUCCGCUGCUUGUGCGGGCCCCCGUCAAUUCCUUUGAGUUUUAGCCUUGCGGCCGUACUCCCCAGGCGGGGCACUUAAUGCGUUAGCGACGGCGCGGAAGGAGUCGACACCUCCCACACCUAGUGCCCAUCGUUUACGGCGUGGACUAC